GUGACCUCGGAUCAGUAGGAAACCCCAAAC
This 30-nucleotide ribosomal RNA is filed under the name Fusarium sp. MOD-13. Its description in RNAcentral is "partial 28S ribosomal RNA". Lineage: Eukaryota; Fungi; Ascomycota; Sordariomycetes; Hypocreales; Nectriaceae. The record is from RNAcentral.